UUCCUGGGUGGAGUUUCACAUUUGAUGCUGACAAGUGGGAACCCGAUAGACGAAGGCAGAAGGCAUCGGGCUGGUAGAAAGGCAGCACCUUUCCUGGGAGCUGCUGGACUUCAGUCUGGGUGUUUCUGCAGGAAACUCCACCCUCUGGUCCUGUCUCUGUGUGUACCAUCACCAGAAGAACACUGGCUUUGCUAUGAAUAACUGAGAGUUCUUUCAACUGCAGUAGGCUCAAGACCAAUUAAUGAAAGGCAUGGAAACUUCAGUAACCUG
Long non-coding RNA from Calidris pygmaea (Spoon-billed sandpiper), 270 nucleotides. The record is from Ensembl. NCBI's taxonomy places the organism in Eukaryota, Metazoa, Chordata, Aves, Charadriiformes, Scolopacidae.